This 72-nucleotide transfer RNA is filed under the name Marmota marmota marmota (Alpine marmot). It matches the Rfam family "tRNA". From Rfam's summary of the family: Transfer RNA (tRNA) molecules are approximately 80 nucleotides in length. Lineage: Eukaryota; Metazoa; Chordata; Mammalia; Rodentia; Sciuridae. RNAcentral also lists the same sequence under 2 other names. The record is from Rfam by way of RNAcentral.
GGGAAUUUAGCUCAGUGGUAGAGCAUUUACCUAGCAUGUAUGAAGCCCUGGGAUUGAUCACCAGCAAACCCG